UGCAGUCGACGCGAAGUCCCGCAAGGGGCAAGUAGAGUGGCAAACGGGUGAGUAACACGUGGGUGACCUGCCUUCGAGUGGGGGAUAACGUCCCGAAAGGGACGCUAAUACCGCAUGACAUCCUGCGUUUGGAAACGCGGAGAUCAAAGCCGGGGAUCGCAAGACCUGGCGCUUGAAGAGGGGCCCGCGCCUGAUUAGCUAGUUGGUGGGGUAACGGCUCACCAAGGCAACGAUCAGUAUCCGGCCUGAGAGGGCGGACGGACACACUGGGACUGAGACACGGCCCAGACUCCUACGGGAGGCAGCAGUGGGGAAUUGUUCGCAAUGGGCGCAAGCCUGACGACGCAACGCCGCGUGGAGGACGAAGAUCUUCGGGUCGUAAACUCCUGUCGAGCGGGAAGAACGCUUCCCGGGUGAAUAACCUGGGGAGGUGACGGUACCGCUAAAGGAAGCCCCGGCUAACUCCGUGCCAGCAGCCGCGGUAAUACGGGGGGGGCAAGCGUUGUUCGGAAUUACUGGGCGUAAAGGGCUCGUAGGCGGCCAACUAAGUCGGAUGUGAAAUCCCCAGGCUCAACUUGGGAACUGCAUCCGAUACUGGAUGGCUUGAAUCCGGGAGAGGGAUGCAGAAUUCCAGGUGUAGCGGUGAAAUGCGUAGAUAUCU
This 661-nucleotide ribosomal RNA is filed under the name uncultured bacterium. RNAcentral describes it as "bacterial SSU rRNA". It matches the Rfam family "Bacterial small subunit ribosomal RNA", at positions 56 to 699 of the family's 1533-position model. The record is from RNAcentral.